AUUCCAUAUGAUGAAACUUGGAUUAUUCUCACGACGGUCGUCUGAAAUGGACACCCUAACCGGUGUACUGAUGCAUUGUUCCAAUUCUUUCUGAUGGUC
This is a small nucleolar RNA of Impatiens glandulifera, 99 nucleotides long. RefSeq annotates it as small nucleolar RNA Z161/Z228. The record is from RefSeq and is a predicted model, not a curated record. Lineage: Eukaryota; Viridiplantae; Streptophyta; Magnoliopsida; Ericales; Balsaminaceae. The transcript has a single exon.